Unclassified non-coding RNA from Macaca fascicularis (crab-eating macaque), 299 nucleotides. It matches the Rfam family "Metazoan signal recognition particle RNA". Rfam says of the family: The signal recognition particle (SRP) is a universally conserved ribonucleoprotein. It is involved in the co-translational targeting of proteins to membranes. NCBI's taxonomy places the organism in Eukaryota, Metazoa, Chordata, Mammalia, Primates, Cercopithecidae. The record is from Ensembl.
GCUGGGCAUGGUGGCACAUGCCUGUAGUCCCGGUUACUUGGGAGGCUGAGGCAGGAGGAUCUCUUGAGUCCAGAAAUUCUGGACUGUGGUGCACUGUGCCAAUCAGGUGUCCACACUAAGUUCAGCAUCAAUAUGGUGACCUCCUGAGAGCAGCAGACCACCAGAUUGCCCAGUGAGGGAUGAACCGGCCCAGGUCAGAAACAGAGUAGGUUAAACUCGCAUGCUGAACAGUAGUGGGAUUGUGCUUGUGAAUAGCCACUGUACUCUAGCAUGGGCAACACAGUGAGUCCCUGCCUCUU